Molecule: ribosomal RNA, 432 nt
Filed under: uncultured bacterium
Lineage: Bacteria
Description: bacterial SSU rRNA
Rfam family: Bacterial small subunit ribosomal RNA
Source: RNAcentral
UGAGGAAUAUUGGUCAAUGGCCGAGAGGCUGAACCAGCCAAGUCGCGUGAGGGAUGACGGCCCUACGGGUUGUAAACCUCUUUGUCGGGGUAGCAAAGGACUUCACGAGUGGGGUUUCGAGAGUACCCGAAGAAAAAGCAUCGGCUAACUCCGUGCCAGCAGCCGCGGUAAUACGGAGGAUGCGAGCGUUAUCCGGAUUUAUUGGGUUUAAAGGGUGCGCAGGCGGAGUGUCAAGUCAGCGGUAAAAUUUCGGGGCUCAACCCCGGCGAGCGUUGAAACUGACGCCCUUGAGUGCGCGAGAAGUAUGCGGAAUGCGUGGUGUAGCGGUGAAAUGCAUAGAUAUCACGCAGAACUCCGAUUGCGAAGGCAGCAUACCGGCGCGCAACUGACGCUCAUGCACGAAAGCGUGGGUAUCGAACAGGAUUAGAUACC